This is a non-coding RNA of Pelobates cultripes (western spadefoot toad), 244 nucleotides long. The record is from the annotation of a GenBank genome assembly. Lineage: Eukaryota; Metazoa; Chordata; Amphibia; Anura; Pelobatidae.
AGACACACACACACGGUAAGACACACACACACGGUAAGACACACACACACAGUAAGACACACACACACACACAGGAAGACACACACGGGAAGACACACACGGGAAGACACACACGGGAAGACACACACACACACACGAGAAGACACACAGGAAGACACACACACACAGUAAGACACACACGGGAAGACACACACGGGAAGACACACACACACGGGAAGACACACACACACGGGAAGACACACAC